CAAAAAGCCAGAAAAUGUCCCUUGAGAGCUAAAUUUGUCUGUUUGUUGUGUGUAACGGAAGUGACGGAAAGCACCUGGUGAUUAUCUUAAAACUGAAG
Callorhinus ursinus (northern fur seal) is the source of this 98-nucleotide non-coding RNA. The record is from RefSeq and is a predicted model, not a curated record. Lineage: Eukaryota; Metazoa; Chordata; Mammalia; Carnivora; Otariidae.